CCUACGGGGGGCAGCAGUCGAGAAUCAUUCACAAUGGGGGAAACCCUGAUGGUGCGACGCCGCGUGGGGGAAUGAAGGUCUUCGGAUUGUAAACCCCUGUCAUGUGGGAGCAAAUUAAAAAGAUAGUACCACAAGAGGAAGAGACGGCUAACUCUGUGCCAGCAGCCGCGGUAAUACAGAGGUCUCAAGCUUUGUUAGGAAUCACUGGGCGUAAGGCGUGCGUAGGCUGUUUCGUAAGUCGUGUGUGAAAGGCGCGGGCUCAACCCGCGGACGGCACAUGAUACUGCGAGACUAGAGUAAUGGAGGGGGAACCGGAAUUCUCGGUGUAGCAGUGAAAUGCGUAGAUAUCCAGAGGAACACUCGUGGCGAAGGCGGGUUCCUGGACAUUAACUGACGCUGAGGCACGAAGGCCAGGGGAGCGAAAGGGAUUAGAUACCCUUGUAGUC
RNAcentral lists this ribosomal RNA (446 nucleotides) under uncultured bacterium. Its description in RNAcentral is "partial 16S ribosomal RNA". It matches the Rfam family "Bacterial small subunit ribosomal RNA", at positions 338 to 795 of the family's 1533-position model. The record is from RNAcentral.